GACGAACGCUGGCGGCGUGCUUAACACAUGCAAGUCGAACGGAAAGGCCCUGCUUUUGUGGGGUGCUCGAGUGGCGAACGGGUGAGUAACACGUGAGUAACCUGCCCUUGACUUUUGUAUAACUUCAGGAAACUGGGGCUAAUACCGGAUAGGAGCUCCUGCUGCAUGGUGGGGGUUGGAACGUUUCGGCUGUUGGGGAUGGACUCGCGGCUUAUCAGCUUGUUGGUGGGGUAGUUGCUUACCAAGGCUUUGACGGGUAGCCGGCCUGAGAGGGUGACCGGGCACAUGGGGACUGAGAGACGGACCAGACGCCUACGGGAGGCAGCAGGGGGGAAUAUUGCACAAUGGGCGGAAGUCUGAUGCAGAAACGCCGCGUGCGGGAUGACGGCCUUCGGGUUGUAAACAGCUGUCGCCUGUGACGAAGCGGGAGUGACGGUAAUGGGUAAAGAAGCACCGGCUAACUACGUG
RNAcentral lists this ribosomal RNA (468 nucleotides) under uncultured bacterium. RNAcentral's name for it is "partial 16S ribosomal RNA". It matches the Rfam family "Bacterial small subunit ribosomal RNA", at positions 28 to 507 of the family's 1533-position model. The record is from RNAcentral.